GACGAACGCUGGCGGCGUGCUUAACACAUGCAAGUCGAGCGGUAAGGCCCUUUCGGGGGUACGACGAGCGGCGAACGGGUGGAGUAACACGUGGGUGACCUGCCCUCAGCUCUGGGAUAAGCCUGGGAAACCGGGUCUAAUACCGGAUAUGACUCCAUGACGCAUGUUGUGGGGUGGAAAGCCUUGUGCGGCUGAGGAUGGGCCCGCGGCCUAUCAGCUUGUUGGUGGGGUGAUGGCCUACCAAGGCGACGACGGGUAGCCGGCCUGAGAGGGCGACCGGCCACACUGGGACUGAGACACGGCCCAGACUCCUACGGGAGGCAGCAGUGGGGAAUCUUGCGCAAUGGGCGAAAGCCUGACGCAGCGACGCCGCGUGAGGGAUGACGGCCUGGUGU
RNAcentral lists this ribosomal RNA (395 nucleotides) under uncultured bacterium. RNAcentral's name for it is "bacterial SSU rRNA". It matches the Rfam family "Bacterial small subunit ribosomal RNA", at positions 28 to 422 of the family's 1533-position model. The record is from RNAcentral.